This 279-nucleotide ribosomal RNA is filed under the name uncultured bacterium. Its description in RNAcentral is "partial 16S ribosomal RNA". It matches the Rfam family "Bacterial small subunit ribosomal RNA", at positions 506 to 784 of the family's 1533-position model. The record is from RNAcentral.
UGCCAGCAGCCGCGGUAAUACGGAGGAUCCAAGCGUUAUCCGGAAUCAUUGGGUUUAAAGGGUCCGUAGGCGGUCUGGUAAGUCAGAGGUGAAAUCCUGCAGCUCAACUGUAGCAUUGCCUUUGAUACUGAUUGACUUGAGUUAUAUGGAAGUAGUUAGAAUGUGUAGUGUAGCGGUGAAAUGCAUAGAUAUUACACAGAAUACCGAUUGCGAAAGCAGAUUACUAACAAUAUACUGACGCUGAGGGACGAAAGCGUGGGUAGCGAACAGGAUUAGAAA